UCAAGAAACUUCCGCAAUGGACGCAAGUCUGACGGAGCGACGCCGCGUGAUGGACGAAGUACCUCGGUACGUAAACAUCUUUUAUGAGGGACGAAAUUAUUGACGGUACCUCAGGAAUAAGGGGCUCCUAACUCUGUGCCAGCAGGAGCGGUAAUACAGAGGCCCCAAGCAUUAUCCGGAAUCACUGGGCGUAAAGGGUGUCGAGGCGGUCGUAUUAGUCGUUUGUAAAAUCCGUGGGCUCAACCUACGGCUCGCAAGCGAAACGGUACGACUUGAGGUUGGGAGAGGUGUGUGGAACUCACGGUGUAGGGGUGAAAUCCGUUGAUAUCGUGGGGAACACCAAAAGCGAAGGCAGUACAUUGGGCCACUCCUGACACUGAAACACGAAAGCGUAGGUAGCGAAUGGGAUUAGAUACCCCUGUAGUCCCUGAGCGGGCUGGCAAGGCGCAU
This 450-nucleotide ribosomal RNA is filed under the name uncultured bacterium. RNAcentral describes it as "bacterial SSU rRNA". It matches the Rfam family "Bacterial small subunit ribosomal RNA", at positions 355 to 825 of the family's 1533-position model. The record is from RNAcentral.